This 362-nucleotide long non-coding RNA is filed under the name Capsella grandiflora. RNAcentral's name for it is "long non-coding RNA (CGRA_LNC000428)". Lineage: Eukaryota; Viridiplantae; Streptophyta; Magnoliopsida; Brassicales; Brassicaceae. The record is from RNAcentral.
CAGGUGCUUAUACACGCGAGUCCAUGACUCAAUACCUGGACUGCUAUUUUCAGUAAGGUACCACUUCAAACCUUCAUCUGUAUAUACCAUUGUAUUUUCAUAUUUUUGUUUGUUUGAUUCUCAAACCAACUCUCAAAUUUUUAUUACACAAGGGACUGUGUAAUUUAAGUUUGGGGGCGGGUUUGGGAUGGCAUCUGAUGUUGUGUUCUUUUUUCUUAAUUUGAAUUUUUAGCAUAUAAUUUGCAUUCAUAUAUGUGCAUUGAAAACCCCUAAAAAUUUGAAAAAUUUUCAGAAAAAAAUCUUUAAAAACAGAGUGAUCAUGUAGCUUGCAUCAGCAUAUUAGGAUUGAGUCUAGACUGUUU